Molecule: small RNA, 405 nt
Filed under: Oryza sativa Japonica Group (Japanese rice)
Lineage: Eukaryota; Viridiplantae; Streptophyta; Magnoliopsida; Poales; Poaceae
Description: sRNA Os07g0301050
Source: RNAcentral
GGUUAUAAGAGUUUUUAACCCUGACAGGUAUAUCACCUUCUCUAGCUGGUCGCAUCGAUUGUGGAUGCAAAACCUAGAAUUAGUUAGCAAGUUCAGCUGCCUCAUCAAAUGUCAAGUAUGGCACAGGUUUCGCAUUUGGAUGAAUAUUAGGAUCACAAGUUAAAACACCAUCAACAUCUUUCCAUGCCAAUGGUAGUAGCUGUCAGGUCACUACCACCCCUGCCUAAAGUGGUGAUUGCACCAGUUUUCCAUCCCUACAAAAAACCAGUGACUAUUGGAAUAGCAGGACCAGUAACCCAGUCCCCAUGUAGCCUCUUUGCAAUGGCAGGAUAAGUUGCUUCCAGAAUAUCAGCGUUUGUGAAAUCAUCAGUGGUUAUAAAGCCUAUUUCAAAUGCAUCAUACUGC